RNAcentral lists this ribosomal RNA (465 nucleotides) under Vreelandella stevensii. RNAcentral describes it as "partial 16S ribosomal RNA". It matches the Rfam family "Bacterial small subunit ribosomal RNA", at positions 338 to 795 of the family's 1533-position model. The record is from RNAcentral. Lineage: Bacteria; Pseudomonadati; Pseudomonadota; Gammaproteobacteria; Oceanospirillales; Halomonadaceae.
CCUACGGGUGGUUGCAGUGGGGAAUAUUGGACAAUGGGCGAAAGCCUGAUCCAGCCAUGCCGCGUGUGUGAAGAAGGCCUUCGGGUUGUAAAGCACUUUCAGUGGGGAAGAAAGCCUUGGGGCUAAUACCCUCGAGGAAGGACAUCACCCACAGAAGAAGCACCGGCUAACUCCGUGCCAGCAGCCGCGGUAAUACGGAGGGUGCGAGCGUUAAUCGGAAUUACUGGGCGUAAAGCGCGCGUAGGCGGUCUGAUAAGCCGGUUGUGAAAGCCCCGGGCUCAACCUGGGAACGGCAUCCGGAACUGUCAGGCUAGAGUGCAGGAGGGGAAGGUAGAAUUCCCGGUGUAGCGGUGAAAUGCGUAGAGAUCGGGAGGAAUACCAGUGGCGAAGGCGGCCUUCUGGACUGACACUGACGCUGAGGUGCGAAAGCGUGGGUAGCAAACAGGAUUAGAUACCCCAGUAGUC